RNAcentral lists this ribosomal RNA (495 nucleotides) under uncultured bacterium. RNAcentral's name for it is "partial 16S ribosomal RNA". It matches the Rfam family "Bacterial small subunit ribosomal RNA", at positions 28 to 507 of the family's 1533-position model. The record is from RNAcentral.
GACGAACGCUGGCGGCGUGCCUAAUACAUGCAAGUAGAACGCUGAAGGAGGAGCUUGCCUCUCUGGAUGAGUUGCGAACGGGUGAGUAACGCGUAGGUAACCUGCCUGGUAGCGGGGGAUAACUAUUGGAAACGAUAGCUAAUACCGCAUAAUAGUAGAUGUUGCAUGACAUUUGCUUAAAAGGUGCAAUUGCAUCACUACCAGAUGGACCUGCGUUGUAUUAGCUAGUUGGUGGGGUAACGGCUCACCAAGGCGACGAUACAUAGCCGACCUGAGAGGGUGAUCGGCCACACUGGGACUGAGACACGGCCCAGACUCCUACGGGAGGCAGCAGUAGGGAAUCUUCGGCAAUGGACGGAAGUCUGACCGAGCAACGCCGCGUGAGUGAAGAAGGUUGUCGGAUCGUAAAGCUCUGUUGUAAGAGAAGAACGAGUGUGAGAGUGGAAAGUUCACACUGUGACGGUAUCUUACCAGAAAGGGACGGCUAACUACGUG